GAACGCUGGCGGCGUGCUUAACACAUGCAAGUCGCGCGUGAAAGGACUUCGGUCCGAGUAAAGCGGCGCACGGGUGAGUAACGCGUGGAUGAUCUACCCAUGAGUUAGGAAUAACGGCUGGAAACGGUCGCUAAUACCAAAUACGCUCCGAUUUCAACUUCGGGGGAAAGGUGGCCUCUGCUUGCAAGCUACUGCUCAUGGAUGAGUCCGCGUCCCAUUAGCUAGUUGGUGGGGUAACGGCCCACCAAGGCGACGAUGGGUAGCCGGUCUGAGAGGAUGACCGGCCACACUGGGACUGGAACACGGCCCAGACUCCUACGGGAGGCAGCAGUGGGGAAUAUUGCGCAAUGGGCGAAAGCCUGACGCAGCGACGCCGCGUGAGGGGAAUGAAGGUCCUCGGAUCGUAAACCUCUGUCAGGAGGGAAGAACCGCCACGGUGCUAAUCAGCCGUGGUCUGACGGUACCUCCAAAGGAAGCACCGGCUAACUCCGUGCCAGCCGCCGC
This 504-nucleotide ribosomal RNA is filed under the name uncultured bacterium. RNAcentral describes it as "bacterial SSU rRNA". It matches the Rfam family "Bacterial small subunit ribosomal RNA", at positions 31 to 518 of the family's 1533-position model. The record is from RNAcentral.